UAAAUGUAUGGGGAUCUGCCCGAUAGAGGGGGAUAACUAUUGGAAACGGUGGCUAAUACCGCAUAAUGUCUACGGACCAAAGCAGGGGCUCUUCGGACCUUGCACUAUCGGAUGAACCCAUAUGGGAUUAGCUAGUAGGUGGGGUAAAGGCUCACCUAGGCGACGAUCUCUAGCUGGUCUGAGAGGAUGAUCAGCCACACUGGGACUGAGACACGGCCCAG
Molecule: ribosomal RNA, 221 nt
Filed under: uncultured bacterium
Lineage: Bacteria
Description: partial 16S ribosomal RNA
Rfam family: Bacterial small subunit ribosomal RNA
Source: RNAcentral